AUUAUUUUAAGAUUAUUUUUUAUUGUUGAAAAAAUUAAAAAUAAAUUGUUUUUAACAAAAAUUAAAAUUUAUAAUAUUUCAUUUUUUGGUUUUUUGUUUUAAAUUAAAAUAAUAAAUAUGGGGGAAAAAAAAAUUUUGUUAUAAAUUAUAUUAGUUUAUUUUAAUUAAAAAUAUUUUUUAUUAAAUUUGUUUUUUUUAUUUUUUUAUAAAAAAUAUUAAUUUAAUUAUUAUUAUUGAGUUUAAUUUAGUUAUUUUUAAAAAAAUUUUGUAUAAAAUAAAUUUGAUAAUAAAUGUUUUUUAAAUUCUUUGGGGGUUUAGUUUAUGAUUUUUUGUUUCUGCUCAUUGUUAAAUAAAAGCACUUUUAGCGUGAUUGGUCAAAGGUAA
Molecule: ribosomal RNA, 384 nt
Filed under: Meloidogyne enterolobii
Lineage: Eukaryota; Metazoa; Nematoda; Chromadorea; Rhabditida; Meloidogynidae
Description: partial 16S ribosomal RNA
Source: RNAcentral